This 447-nucleotide ribosomal RNA is filed under the name uncultured bacterium. RNAcentral's name for it is "SSU rRNA". It matches the Rfam family "Bacterial small subunit ribosomal RNA", at positions 26 to 518 of the family's 1533-position model. The record is from RNAcentral.
AGAGCGAACGCUGGCGGCAGGCCUAACACAUGCAAGUCGAGCGCCCGUAGCAAUACGGGAGCGGCAGACGGGAUAGUAACACGUGGGAACGCGCCCUUCGGUUCGGAAUAACUCAGGGAAACUUGAGCUAAUACCGAAUACGCCCUUACGGGGAAAGAUUUAUUGCCGAAGGAACGGCCCGCGUCCGAUUAGCUAGUUGGUGAGGUAAUGGCUCACCAAGGCUACGAUCGGUAGCUGGUCUGAGAGGAUGACCAGCAUCACUGGGACUGAGACACGGCCCAGACUCCUACGGGAGGCAGCAGUGGGGAAUCUUGCUCAAUGGGCGAAAGCCUGAAGCAGCGACGCCGCGUGCGGGAUGAAGGCCCUCGGGUUGUAAACCGCUUUCAGCAGGGACGAAAUUGACGGUACCUGCAGAAGAGGCCCGGCCAACUACGUGCCAGCAGCCGC